CCAGGGAUGCUGAGAGAGCCUUUGACAAAAUCCAGUACCCCUUCAUGAAGCAAACAAAAAUCAACUACAACAGAACAAAAACCCUCAAGAACAUAGGAACUGAGCCCCUGGCCCACAGCCUGGUACCCUGGAGCUCCAUAAAUACCUGUUGAGUGAAUGAGAGGAUGAAGGCUUCUGCAGAGAGAGAGUGGAAGAAAAGUGGCGUCUUUUGACUUCGGACUUGGCUUUCCUUGCAGAGGCCUCAGGGAGGAACAACACGGAAACAAAGAUGGCCUUGUCCUGGGCCCUUCCCUCCCUGCCCCACUGUCCUCCUCUGCAUCCUACAGCAGCCUGGGGGGAGGUGGAAAUGGGCCCCUUUGUUCUGCUUCCAGAAUUCCACUCCCACUGGGUGGAGGCCUGGCUGCAGCCCCCUCCUUCCUCUGCCAGUUCUUCCUAAUCCUGAGCGACUCGCCAAAGCCUUGGAUCUUCACACCGUGGGUCUCGCUGUGAGGACGGGCCUAAGCUCACAGGUAGCCUCAGAGACAGAUACGGGUGCAGAGGGAAGAGGGGGUCCCCACCUGUUACCUCCCAGUCCUCUUCAUCAGUGUCCCCAGGACCUAUCACACAGGACAAAUGAAACUGGGAGACGCCGUCUAGAGUGGGAACCCAGGUGAACACUAAUCCAGUGUGGGCUGCAGACCUGUUUUUCCCUGGUCCCUGACAUGAGUAAAUUCAGAAAAUGAGGGUAAGUGCUUUGAGAUGUUAACAUGAUAGAGUACUUUACUUUUAUGACUAUUGAAUCAAAUAACUUUUCAAGGGUUUUAAUGGAUUAUCAGACCAUGGAAAGAUACAGGAAACUUGAAUGCAUAUUACUAAGUGAAAGAAGUCAGUCUGAAAAGGCUGUAUAGUAUCUGAUUCCAACUGUGUGACAUUCUGGAGAAAGCAAAACUAUGGAGACUGUCAAAGGACCAGUGGUUGUCAGGAGUUAGGGGAGAGAGGCAUGACUGGGUAGAGCACAGAGGAUUUUAGGGCAGUGGAACUACUCUGUAUACUACUACAGUGGUGGAUACAGGUCAUCAUGCAUUGUUCAAAUUCAUGGAAUGGACGACACCAAAGGUUAACUCCAGCCAGAAGUGCUGGUCUCUUACCCCUGCCCCAUUCUUAGCACUGGGCCUCAGUUUCCUUUCCUGCAAAUUGAGGGGGUAGCAUGAUCUGACCUACCCAAUUAGACAGUUCAGCAAAUGUCUGGUUCUUUUGACAAAUACAGGCAGCGUCUGGAAAUUAGGGGCCAUAGACUCCUCCUCCAAACCUCACCAUCAAGAUGCUCCAAUGAAAGCAGGUCUUGGGCAAUUCUGCCAGCCAGCCAUGCUCAUUGGCAAGGCUGCACAAAACAGUUUGUAAGCUUGGGGAAGUCCUAGCUGUCCUCAGAUUCUCAGAUACGUAGCUUGCUUGAAAGGUUGGGGUUCUGAAGGAGCAGCUUGAAUCUCAGUCCAUCCUGUGACAAUCUCACAAAGUGGGGACCAGAUUCUGAUGCCUCAUUGGGACAGAGGCAACAAUGACUAUGCAGUGCUCCUAGCUGGCCACAUGUUGUGAACAUUAUUUACUUCACCAGUGAAAACUUAUUUCAAACAUCCCUUAUGCUAAUUAAUCAACCCUCUGGUAUAAUUUUGAUAACCACAUUUGAAAUGCUUUGUUAAAACCACUGGACUAUGGAUUCCUAAGGAACUCCAAAGGCGAAACAGCUGCCCUCGCUAUAUAUGUUCAGUUAACCUAUGAGCAUGUGUAUCAUUAUUAAUGCUUAAGUAUUUAAAAGUAUAUUACUACCCAGAUGAACUAGGAAGGAGAUAAAUCACAUGACUUCUGAGUUCCCUCCCAUGCUAAAUAUAUGUAAAC
This 1872-nucleotide long non-coding RNA is filed under the name Homo sapiens (human). Its description in RNAcentral is "non-protein coding lnc-APBA1-2:1". The record is from RNAcentral. Lineage: Eukaryota; Metazoa; Chordata; Mammalia; Primates; Hominidae.